Molecule: long non-coding RNA, 1058 nt
Organism: Anopheles arabiensis
Lineage: Eukaryota; Metazoa; Arthropoda; Insecta; Diptera; Culicidae
Exons: 3
Source: RefSeq, a predicted model, not a curated record
CGUUACAGCGGUACCAGGGCUGUGUAUGCUGAAUAGUAAUCGUCCGGGAUCAAUCUCAAGUGGUCAAUUUGGCCGACGACACCGGCCAAAUAGCCGCCCGGCAAGGGUGCCUUUAUUUACAACCAUAACAUCCGGACCCCAGACCCAACGGUAGCUCCGGGUCCGGAUCAAGCAAUCAUGCGGGUUUGACCGUGACACCGUGGCCGAACAGCUCCGGUUCCUGUCCUUCCCACCCCCUAGACACCCCGUACGGUGUGACGUCCGAAGGGAUAAUCAGAUCGAACGCUCGAUGCACACCCCGGUGCACAAAGAGUAAAUCAAAGAAGCGACCUUUUUCCCCCUCUCGGAACUCAAAAAGGACACAAAACACGCAAAGCAACUCAUCGAAGCAACGACGGUGAACGAAAAAAGCAAGUGGUUCCGGUUGUCUGCUUCAAUCCGUCAAAAGGCCCCAUCACCCCCCGGGAAUCAAUCGCAAUCGGGUUGCAAAGGAAGCAAGCGAAAAUCAAUCAUCGGCGCCACUAAUAACCCUUCGGUGUCGCAAGCGGCUUUGUCACAGCGAAACCUUAACCACAUUCUCGAUAAUGGGAAACUGUACUCUCAGCGACAGGACCUCACCAACCCCACGAUGGCGCAACGAAUUGCCAACGGUUGCGUGUGCGUGAAUGUGGCGUGGCCUUCGGAACGAUGUGCCUGUGUGACUGUACCAGCAAAGCGGAUGGCCGAAUGGUCCGCCGUUGCCGAUUCGCCACGGUUGUCGUGUUGCCUGUGCACCGUGAUUGAGAUAGAUCGGGCGAUGGGCAAAUAAAUGGUUUCUACAAGAAGUGCGCCCGUGUGGGAAAGCGUCGUUCAAUCGGCAACCCGCAACCGAAGCCGAAGCGAAUCCUUUUUUUCUUUUUGCUCGUUUGUUAUAAUCCUUCGCCCUGCUGGUUGUGCUGGAAGAAGUGAACUGAAGUAAAUAGAAAAUGAAACAUUAUCCUGGUACGGUGGUGUGGUUGGGGUGCAACGGUGACAAAUGGGGUGACAUUUAAAAGUGACAUCGAUUGACAAAUAAAUCG